UACAGAGGUCUCAAGCGUUGUUCGGAUUCAUUGGGCGUAAAGGGUGCGUAGGCGGCGCGGUAAGUCGGAUGUGAAAUCUCGGAGCUUAACUUCGAAACUGCAUUCGAUACUGCCGUGCUUGAGGACUGGAGAGGAGACUGGAAUUUACGGUGUAGCGGUGAAAUGCGUAGAUAUCGUAAGGAAGACCAGUGGCGAAGGCGGGUUGCUGGGCUGACACUGACGCUGAUGUGCGAAAGCUAGGGGAGCGAACGGG
Molecule: ribosomal RNA, 253 nt
Filed under: uncultured bacterium
Lineage: Bacteria
Description: partial 16S ribosomal RNA
Rfam family: Bacterial small subunit ribosomal RNA
Source: RNAcentral